CACGCGUCUUGAGAUCUUUUGAUCACCUGAGAGAUCAGGUUUCCCCUUCGGGGGCAAAAUGACAGGUGGUGCAUGGUUGUCGUCAGCUCGUGUCGUGAGAUGUUGGGUUAAGUCCCGCAACGAGCGCAACCCUUAUGACUAGUUGCCAGCAUUUAGUUGGGCACUCUAGUAAGACUGCCGGUGACAAACCGGAGGAAGGU
RNAcentral lists this ribosomal RNA (200 nucleotides) under Lacticaseibacillus paracasei. RNAcentral's name for it is "Lactobacillus paracasei partial 16S ribosomal RNA". It matches the Rfam family "Bacterial small subunit ribosomal RNA", at positions 975 to 1174 of the family's 1533-position model. The record is from RNAcentral. Lineage: Bacteria; Bacillati; Bacillota; Bacilli; Lactobacillales; Lactobacillaceae.